RNAcentral lists this ribosomal RNA (484 nucleotides) under uncultured bacterium. Its description in RNAcentral is "partial 16S ribosomal RNA". It matches the Rfam family "Bacterial small subunit ribosomal RNA", at positions 30 to 507 of the family's 1533-position model. The record is from RNAcentral.
AUUGAACGCUGGCGGCAGGCCUAACACAUGCAAGUCGAGCGGAUGAAGGGAGCUUGCUCCUGGAUUCAGCGACGGACGGGUGAGUAAUGCCUAGGAAUCUGCCUGGUAGUGGGGGAUAACGUCCGGAAACGGGCGCUAAUACCGCAUACGUCCUGAGGGAGAAAGUGGGGGAUCUUCGGACCUCACGCUAUCAGAUGAGCCUAGGUCGGAUUAGCUAGUUGGUGGGGUAAAGGCCUACCAAGGCGACGAUCCGUAACUGGUCUGAGAGGAUGAUCAGUCACCCUGGAACUGAGACACGGUCCAGACUCCUACGGGAGGCAGCAGUGGGGAAUAUUGGACAGUGGGCGAAAGCCUGAUCCAGCCAUGCCGCGUGUGUGAAGAAGGUCUUCGGAUUGUAAAGCACUUUAAGUUGGGAGGAAGGGCAGUAAGUUAAUACCUUGCUGUUUUGACGUUACCAACAGAAUAAGCACCGGCUAACUUCGUG